UACGGAGGGUGCAAACGUUGUUCGGAAUCAUUGGGCGUAAAGGGCACGCAGGCGGCGUGUCAGGUCGGAUGUGAAAGCCCGGGGCUCAACUCCGGAAUUGCGUUCGAAACCGGCAUGCUAGAGUUCUGGAGAGGAAAGUGGAAUUCCUGGUGUAGGGGUGAAAUCCGUAGAUAUCAGGAGGAAUACCGAAGGCGAAGGCAGCUUUCUGGCCAUGAACUGACGCUGAGGUGCGAAAGCGUGGGUAGCAAACAGG
Molecule: ribosomal RNA, 253 nt
Filed under: uncultured bacterium
Lineage: Bacteria
Description: partial 16S ribosomal RNA
Rfam family: Bacterial small subunit ribosomal RNA
Source: RNAcentral